Molecule: long non-coding RNA, 170 nt
Organism: Cervus elaphus (red deer)
Lineage: Eukaryota; Metazoa; Chordata; Mammalia; Artiodactyla; Cervidae
Exons: 3
Source: RefSeq, a predicted model, not a curated record
UUUGACCUUGGAGAACAAAAUGAAGCAGGGCAAAGGCUAACAGAAUUCUCCCAAGACAGUGCACUGGUCAUAGCAAAUACCCUUUUUCAACAACAUAAGGGAUGACUUUACACAUGGACGUUACCAAAUGGUCAAUAUCGAAAUAAGACUGAUUAUAUUCUCUGCAGCCA